Non-coding RNA from Schistosoma mansoni, 80 nucleotides. Lineage: Eukaryota; Metazoa; Platyhelminthes; Trematoda; Strigeidida; Schistosomatidae. The record is from Rfam.
GGUGGAGUGGCCGAGCGGUCUAAGGCGCUGGUUUAAGGCACCAGUCUGAAAGGGCAUGGGUUUGAAUCCCACCUCCAUUA